This is a long non-coding RNA of Syzygium oleosum, 391 nucleotides long. RefSeq lists it as uncharacterized. The record is from RefSeq and is a predicted model, not a curated record. NCBI's taxonomy places the organism in Eukaryota, Viridiplantae, Streptophyta, Magnoliopsida, Myrtales, Myrtaceae. The transcript has 2 exons.
AUAUAAACGCGAGUUCACCCCAUUCUCCUUCUCGGUGCCUGAAAACCCCCAGAGUUCGCACCUGCCGUCAGAUCGAAGCUAGGGUUCCGAGGGCGAAGCAACCGGAGCGAUCGUUACCUCGUCGCCAUGAGAGCUAAGUGGAAGAAGAAGCGCAUGAGGAGGUUGAAGAGGAAGCGCAGAAAGAUGAGGCAGAGAUCGAAGUAGGGACAGUCUUCAUCAUCAUCAAAAGCGGGUCUCAUCUCUAGUCGUUCUUUCUCUUUAAAGCUAUGUUCUUUUCUUUUUGGGGAACCAGUACUUGUAGAAGAUUAGGCUUCUCGUUUUUGUACCGUUCCGUGUCUUGUUCUUUGUUGGAUUGGAACAUCUUGAUGAAUCUAGUUCGUUACCUUUGGCA